RNAcentral lists this ribosomal RNA (468 nucleotides) under uncultured bacterium. RNAcentral's name for it is "bacterial SSU rRNA". It matches the Rfam family "Bacterial small subunit ribosomal RNA", at positions 28 to 500 of the family's 1533-position model. The record is from RNAcentral.
GACGAACGCUGGCGGUGUGCUUAACACAUGCAAGUGGAGCGACGAACCAGGGCUUGCCCUGGGGCAGAGCCGCGAACGGGUGAGUAACACGUGGGUAACCUACCCCGAUGACCGGGACAACCCGAGGAAACUCGGGCUAAUACCGGAUGUGUCCCAUCUUCACGAGAGGAUGGAGCAAAGGAAGCUUCGGCCUCCGCAUUGGGAGGGGCCCGCGGCCCAUUAGCUAGUUGGUGGGGUAAUGGCCUACCAAGGCAGCGAUGGGUAGCUGGUCUGAGAGGACGAUCAGCCACACUGGGACUGAGACACGGCCCAGACUCCUACGGGAGGCAGCAGUGGGGAAUCUUGCGCAAUGGGCGAAAGCCUGACGCAGCGACGCCGCGUGAGGGAUGACGGCCUUCGGGUUGUAAACCGUCUUUCUAGCUCCGACGAAGCGAAAGUGACGGUAGGAGCAGAAGAAGCACCGGCCAA